AUUGAACGCUGGCGGCAGGCCUAACACAUGCAAGUCGAGCGGAUGAAGGGAGCUUGCUCCUGGAUUCAGCGGCGGACGGGUGAGUAAUGCCUAGGAAUCUGCCUGGUAGUGGGGGAUAACGUCCGGAAACGGGCGCUAAUACCGCAUACGUCCUGAGGGAGAAAGUGGGGGAUCUUCGGACCUCACGCUAUCAGAUGAGCCUAGGUCGGAUUAGCUAGUUGGUGGGGUAAAGGCCUACCAAGGCGACGAUCCGUAACUGGUCUGAGAGGAUGAUCAGUCACACUGGAACUGAGACACGGUCCAGACUCCUACGGGAGGCAGCAGUGGGGAAUAUUGGACAAUGGGCGAAAGCCUGAUCCAGCCAUGCCGCGUGUGUGAAGAAGGUCUUCGGAUUGAAAAGCACUUUAAGUUGGGAGGAAGGGCAGUAAGUUAAUACCUUGCUGUUUUGACGUUACCAACAGAAUAAGCACCGGCUAACCUCGUG
This 484-nucleotide ribosomal RNA is filed under the name uncultured bacterium. RNAcentral describes it as "partial 16S ribosomal RNA". It matches the Rfam family "Bacterial small subunit ribosomal RNA", at positions 30 to 507 of the family's 1533-position model. The record is from RNAcentral.